RNAcentral lists this long non-coding RNA (443 nucleotides) under Carica papaya (papaya). RNAcentral describes it as "long non-coding RNA (CPAP_LNC006104)". Lineage: Eukaryota; Viridiplantae; Streptophyta; Magnoliopsida; Brassicales; Caricaceae. The record is from RNAcentral.
UAACACCUACUGCACCGACUCAGUAGAACAAGAAACCUAGGUUUGUAACUCAAGCUCCUACUCAGGCUUCAGCAACAGGGCGCAGCAGGGCUUGCCAACACUGCGCCAAGGAUAAUGGGGACCGACCCUACUAUCGCAUCAAUAAUAUCUAUCGCAUAUGUGGAAGUACCCAACACUAUGCGAGAGAAUGCUCGUGAAAUCAGAAUCAAGUUAGACCUCCCAUUUAGGGCAGAGCUUACACCCUCAUUCAGCAGGAUGCUGAAGCCAAUCCGAACGUGAUACAGAGUAUGUACACUAUCUAUAAUUACCUUACACAUAUUUUGAUUGAUACUAGUAUUUUUCAUUCUUUUUGCCUCACAUACUUUUGUAAAAAAAUUUGAAUGUGUUACCUGAAAAUCUCGAUUAUGUACUAUUUAUGUCUAUUAUUGGGAAUGCAACACUAC